Long non-coding RNA from Oreochromis aureus, 2103 nucleotides. RefSeq lists it as uncharacterized. The record is from RefSeq and is a predicted model, not a curated record. Lineage: Eukaryota; Metazoa; Chordata; Actinopteri; Cichliformes; Cichlidae. The transcript is spliced from 4 exons.
CUGAUUUCUGGAAGUGAAUAAUCCUGAAUGUUACAUUUAGGAAGCUGCAUGUAUAGAUAUGCAUAUCAAGUUUAUUUUUUUUUCCUUUGAGGGAUUUUAAUUCUCUAAAAUGUUAUCCCUGUUACAUUUUAACCUUUGUUCCCUUAGGACACAGUAGUGUUUAGUAGUUGUAUUCAUUUUAUGUGUUACCUCAGUUAAAUUUCAAUCCUUCAUUCAUAUUUAAACUUUUGCUGUGGUAAUCCCUUUUCUUAAAUCCUUUUCUCCCAAAACUGCAAAUGUUUUCACAGCAGUUGCUCUUAAAACUUCCAAAAUGAACUAAAUCUGUCCACCAGCUUUGAAACAACACCUGCUGUGACUUUAUGUCCAGAAAAAAGAAACUCAAUCUAAACUGGUUUUGGGCUGUACUUCCAUGUAAUGCCAGUUUGUACCAGAAGAUGAAGCAGUGAGUCAGUGUAACAUUUAUUUAAUUAGGCAAAGAACACAUUCGUUUUCACAGUGGCAGCAAAGAAAUGUUGAAAGUUAAAAACAGCAGCACACAUCAGGACCAUUUUAAAGAUCACAGGUGACUUUUACUUAAUUCAAAUUCCUUCAAAUUUUUGGCUCCUCCUUUCACUUUAGUGUAUUUACUGUAUCCUUGAAGUCCACAUGUUGUUUUUUUAAUGAAUUCAUUUUGAUCCACAUGUUCUGCGGCUGUCUUCCUGUUGAUUUGAAGUUUGUAUUAUGAAAUCCUGAUAAUGUUAAAGCGUUAGUUAAAUUUAAUGAACUCUGUGUAAAGUUUGUCUUAUUAAACAGUUUGGUGUGAAAAAUUAAGAAAUGGUCUCAGAACAAGUAGUUUGAGCCCUGAUUUCAGAUUCAAACUAAUUUAACUGUUUUCAGUGGUACAUGUGGAGGUUUAUCAGAGGAGGCGACUUGGCUGUUCUCCACUCACGCAGCACAGGGUUCCUGCAGCUCAUUAAAAACUCUGAAAUGAGGACAAAAAUAUUGUUUCAUAAUAAAUAUUUGAUAUUUAUUAUGAACAUUCACCAUUAAAGACAGGAUGUUAGGAAAAGGACAACAUUUUCUCUCCAAGUUAAACAGAGAUUUGCAAACUGUCUGUAGGUAACAACUUAACAUAUUAAUUUACUUUUUACAUUAUUUCCUUCAAGAAAUCGAGCUGCUGGUAGCCAUGUGCUCAUCGUGUGUCACAGGACCAAGAAAGCCUCAUUAAAAAGCAAAGAUCGAUGGUCGCGUUUUAUAUCAUCCACCCUUUAGUCCUAUUAUUUUUAAGUAGGUUUUUAUUAGAAUUUAAACAUUUAAAUCACUUUAUGUUCAAGAAUCUGUUCCUUUCUGCUGAUAUUAAAAUCAUUAACUAGUAUUCAGGGACUAGUCUACAGAAAACACAUAACUAACCUCUUCACCUCUUCUCUCCUUUUUUACUGAAAAGUUAUAAAGUUUGAUGAAACUCCAAAACCUCUUAAUAUAAAGUCUGGAACUCUUUUGCUAGAUUGAUAGAACUUUAUUAAUCCCUCAGGUAGGUUCCUCCAGGAAAUUCAGUUUCUAAUUAAUUGCAGGUUCUCCCACCUCUCCUUCUCCAUCAGCCUCCACUGCCUCCCUUUCCUCCCCCUUUUCCUCUCCUCCUCUCUCUGUGAUGGUGUGUUCUCUCCAUAACUGGGUUGCUGCUGCUGGUCAUACUGCUACUAGUGCUGAGACGAUGCAUCCAGAGAAAAACUGGAGUGAGUGAUGCUGUGACAGCUGCCACCUCUUCAUCAGUGAGAAGAACAUCAGCAGAUGAUGGAAAUGGGUCAAAGAUGAUGAGAGAGAGCGAUCCAGCGGCAGUUUAUUCUUCAGUGCACAGAACAUCUGACAUCAACUAUGCACAGAUCCCCAUCAAGAUGAACUGCAGACAGAGAGAUCUUCCACCAGAGCCAGCGGUCAUCUACUCCUCACUGAAGCUGAGCCACACACCUACACCACAGUGUAACCAGUCUAACCAGUGAUGUCCAGCUGGCUGCCAAACACAUCCCUGCACUCCUCUCUAUAUUAUUUAUUUAACCACAUUCUGUGUGUGUUUACAGUUGUACAGCUGCACUGAAACAGUUUGAAUGUAGAUCUCAGGAUGAAGUG